This is a long non-coding RNA of Strongylocentrotus purpuratus (purple sea urchin), 840 nucleotides long. RefSeq lists it as uncharacterized. The record is from RefSeq and is a predicted model, not a curated record. NCBI's taxonomy places the organism in Eukaryota, Metazoa, Echinodermata, Echinoidea, Camarodonta, Strongylocentrotidae. The transcript has 4 exons.
CCAAUGACGUGACUUCGAGAUUUCAAAUAAUCUGUUAGACUGCGACACCGAGGCAACUAUGUGAAAGCGCAAAAGCAUCGCCAGGAAGGCAGAGGACACGUCAAACCUGGUAUCGGAAGAUGAUGCUGUGUAGACGCGAAAGAGACGUCUUCCCCAGAGAUUUAGCAAAUCUUCUAGUGAUUCCGGAAUUGACGCUGAUCUUGAAUCGGUUAGGACCAAAGAAAACAACAUGUACGCGGAGGAACGAUUAAGGCUGUGGCAGCAGAGAUACCAAUGCCGAAACUGAAUGCGAAGUCCAAGUCCACAUCACAUUUUUCAGUUCCAACCCACAACUCCAGCAAGGGCUCGGGCUUCGGAAAGCAAUUUUCAAGUGCAGGUACUGUGUACGCUGCAGAGGCUGGAGGAAGGGCAGCAGCAGCUGAAGCAGUUGGUACAAAAACUGCUUUUGUCCAAAUCGGGAGCGGCCGUUGAUGUGGAAGACCUGAGGGAGCCGUUUACCAAACCAGUGAACACCAAAUUUUCAUUCAAGGUAGAUUAAGAUACCUUCAUUCAGGGGCAAUGCAAAAAUCCUAAAACUCGUAUUGAAACCAAAUUUGACCAUUUCAGCUAAUAAUGGAGAAACUUUAUCAGCGACAUAACAGUUUUGUUGGUGCAUCUUUUUUAAUUGAAUUGCCAUCAUCUUGUUGAGAAUGCAAGACAAAGUUGUAUAGGUCUGUAAAUUUACUACUUUUUGUAAGGAUGCUGAAACCGAUGGCCCGAAUUCACAAAGGAGGUUUGAGCUCAAACCUUGGUUUUCGUACGUCAUAUGACGCGUUUUACGCGUUUUUUACAAACCUGGUU